UCGGUUGAUCCUGCCGGAGGCUACCGCUAUUGGAGUUCGAUUAAGCCAUGCGAGUCGCGAGAAAUUAGAUUCUCGGCGUACCGCUCAGUAACACGUGGGUAACCUGCCCUAUGCUGGAUAAUAACCUCGGGAAACUGAGAAUAAUGAUCCAUAGUUCACUACGCCUGGAACGGUGAGUGGAUGAAAGCUCCGGCGGCAUAGGAUGGGCCUGCGGCGUAUCAGGUUGUAGGGGGUGUAACGUACCCUCUAGCCCUCUACGCGUACGGGUGUUGGGAGACAUAGCCCGGAGAUGGAUUCUGAGACACGAAUCCAGACCCUACGGGGUGCAGCAGGCGCGAAAACUUGGCAAUGCGAGAAAUCGUGACCAGGGAACUCCAAGUGCAUCGGGUAAGACCGGUGCUUUUCUUGACUCUAAAUAGGUCUUGGAAUAAGGGGUGGGUAAGGACGGUGCCAGCCGCCGCGGUAAUACCGGCGCCUCAAGUGGUAGUCGCUUUUAUUGGGCCUAAAACGUCCGUAGCCGGUCUGAUACAUUCGUGGGUAAAUCAACCAGCUCAACUGGUUGAAUUCUGCGAGGACGGUCAGACUUGGGACCGGGAGAGGUGUGGGGUACGCUCAGGGUAGGGGUAAAAUCCUGUCAUCCUGAGCGGACCACCUGUUGCGAAGGCGCCACACUAGAACGGAUCCGACGGUCAGGGACGAAGCCUAGGGGCACGAACCGGAUUAGAUACCCGGGUAGUCCUAGGUGUAAACGCUGUGGACUUGAUGU
RNAcentral lists this ribosomal RNA (766 nucleotides) under uncultured Candidatus Poseidoniales archaeon. Its description in RNAcentral is "bacterial SSU rRNA". It matches the Rfam family "Archaeal small subunit ribosomal RNA", at positions 4 to 774 of the family's 1478-position model. The record is from RNAcentral. Lineage: Archaea; Methanobacteriati; Thermoplasmatota; Candidatus Poseidoniia; Candidatus Poseidoniales.